This 465-nucleotide ribosomal RNA is filed under the name uncultured Klebsiella sp. Its description in RNAcentral is "bacterial SSU rRNA". It matches the Rfam family "Bacterial small subunit ribosomal RNA", at positions 338 to 795 of the family's 1533-position model. Lineage: Bacteria; Pseudomonadati; Pseudomonadota; Gammaproteobacteria; Enterobacterales; Enterobacteriaceae. The record is from RNAcentral.
CCUACGGGGGGCAGCAGUGGGGAAUAUUGCACAAUGGGCGCAAGCCUGAUGCAGCCAUGCCGCGUGUGUGAAGAAGGCCUUCGGGUUGUAAAGCACUUUCAGCGGGGAGGAAGGCGUUAAGGUUAAUAACCUUGUCGAUUGACGUUACCCGCAGAAGAAGCAUCGGCUAACUCCGUGCCAGCAGCCGCGGUAAUACGGAGGGUGCAAGCGUUAAUCGGAACUACUGGGCGUAAAGCGCACGCAGGCGGUCUGUCAAGUCGGAUGUGAAAUCCCCGGGCUCAACCUGGGAACUGCAUUCGAAACUGGCAGGCUAGAGUCUUGUAGAGGGGGGUAGAAUUCCAGGUGUAGCGGUGAAAUGCGUAGAGAUCUGGAGGAAUACCGGUGGCGAAGGCGGCCCCCUGGACAAAGACUGACGCUCAGGUGCGAAAGCGUGGGGAGCAAACAGGAUUAGAUACCCGGGUAGUC